Molecule: ribosomal RNA, 492 nt
Filed under: uncultured bacterium
Lineage: Bacteria
Description: partial 16S ribosomal RNA
Rfam family: Bacterial small subunit ribosomal RNA
Source: RNAcentral
AGUGAACGCUGGCGGUAGGCCUAACACAUGCAAGUCGAACGGCAGCACAGUAAGAGCUUGCUCUUACGGGUGGCGAGUGGCGGACGGGUGAGGAAUACAUCGGAAUCUACUUUUUCGUGGGGGAUAACGUAGGGAAACUUACGCUAAUACCGCAUACGACCUACGGGUGAAAGCAGGGGAUCUUCGGACCUUGCGCGAGUGAAUGAGCCGAUGUCGGAUUAGCUAGUUGGCGGGGUAAAGGCCCACCAAGGCGACGAUCCGUAGCUGGUCUGAGAGGAUGAUCAGCCACACUGGAACUGAGACACGAUCCAGACUCCUACGGGAGGUACCAGUGGGGAAUAUUGGACAAUGGGCGCAAGCCUGAUCCAGCCAUACCGCGUGGGUGAAGAAGGCCUUCGGGUUGUAAAGCCCUUUUGUUGGGAAAGAAAAGCAGCAGGUUAAUACCCCGCUGUUCUGACGGUACCCAAAGAAUAAGCACCGGCUAACUUCGUG